GACGGGGGCUGAAAGCGUUAUCCGGAAUCACUGGGCGUAAAGCGUCUGUAGGUGGUGAUGCAAGUCACUGGUGCAAAACUCUGGCUCAACCGGAGGAAAGCCAGUGAAACUGCAUGACUAGAGUGUGGGAGAGGUAGAAGGAAUUCCCUGAGUCGCGGUGAAAUGCGUAGAUACAGGGAAGAACACCGGAGGCGAAAGCGUUCUACUGGAACACAACUGACACUGAGAGACGAAAGCUAGGGGAGCGAAUGGG
This 253-nucleotide ribosomal RNA is filed under the name uncultured bacterium. Its description in RNAcentral is "partial 16S ribosomal RNA". It matches the Rfam family "Bacterial small subunit ribosomal RNA", at positions 524 to 776 of the family's 1533-position model. The record is from RNAcentral.